This is a non-coding RNA of Schistosoma mansoni, 46 nucleotides long. Lineage: Eukaryota; Metazoa; Platyhelminthes; Trematoda; Strigeidida; Schistosomatidae. The record is from Rfam.
UCACUGCUGAAGUGUUCCACAAUAGGACGAAACGGCCGUCCAGUGC